Molecule: ribosomal RNA, 253 nt
Filed under: uncultured bacterium
Lineage: Bacteria
Description: partial 16S ribosomal RNA
Rfam family: Bacterial small subunit ribosomal RNA
Source: RNAcentral
UACGUAGGGUGCGAGCGUUAAUCGGAUUUACUGGGCGUAAAGUGUGCGCAGGCGGCCCCGCAAGUCGAGUGUGAAAUCCCCGGGCUUAACUUGGGAAUUGCGCUCGAAACUACGAGGCUUGAGUGUGGCAGAGGGGGGUGGAAUUCCACGUGUAGCGGUGAAAUGCGUAGAGAUGUGGAGGAACACCAAUGGCGAAGGCAGCCCCCUGGGCCAACACUGACGCUCAUGCACGAAAGCGUGGGGAGCAAACAGG